CGCCGAUCUGGCCGAGCCAGGCGAAUGGGAACAGCACUUCAAGGGUGCCGAUCUCGUCGUCAUGUUGCAGGCGCAGAUCGGCGC
Molecule: transfer RNA, 84 nt
Filed under: Paraburkholderia nemoris
Lineage: Bacteria; Pseudomonadati; Pseudomonadota; Betaproteobacteria; Burkholderiales; Burkholderiaceae
Description: Paraburkholderia sp. LMG 31836 tRNA-Leu
Source: RNAcentral